This 615-nucleotide ribosomal RNA is filed under the name Trichoderma asperellum. RNAcentral's name for it is "eukaryotic LSU rRNA". The stretch from base 226 to 379 matches the Rfam family "5.8S ribosomal RNA". Lineage: Eukaryota; Fungi; Ascomycota; Sordariomycetes; Hypocreales; Hypocreaceae. The record is from RNAcentral.
CGUAACAAGGUCUCCGUUGGUGAACCAGCGGAGGGAUCAUUACCGAGUUUACAACUCCCAAACCCAAUGUGAACGUUACCAAACUGUUGCCUCGGCGGGGUCACGCCCCGGGUGCGUCGCAGCCCCGGAACCAGGCGCCCGCCGGAGGAACCAACCAAACUCUUUCUGUAGUCCCCUCGCGGACGUAUUUCUUACAGCUCUGAGCAAAAAUUCAAAAUGAAUCAAAACUUUCAACAACGGAUCUCUUGGUUCUGGCAUCGAUGAAGAACGCAGCGAAAUGCGAUAAGUAAUGUGAAUUGCAGAAUUCAGUGAAUCAUCGAAUCUUUGAACGCACAUUGCGCCCGCCAGUAUUCUGGCGGGCAUGCCUGUCCGAGCGUCAUUUCAACCCUCGAACCCCUCCGGGGGAUCGGCGUUGGGGAUCGGGACCCCUCACACGGGUGCCGGCCCCGAAAUACAGUGGCGGUCUCGCCGCAGCCUCUCCUGCGCAGUAGUUUGCACAACUCGCACCGGGAGCGCGGCGCGUCCACGUCCGUAAAACACCCAACUUUCUGAAAUGUUGACCUCGGAUCAGGUAGGAAUACCCGCUGAACUUAAGCAUAUCAAAUUGGAAGAGAA